UCAGGGCAAGCAUAGGAAAAACUGUCUUCAUGAAGUACCAGAAACCAGCUGGUUUAUAUAGAAGAAAUGUAUUCUCGUGACUUUGGAGACACAAAUCAAGGCAUCCCCUGCUCACUUCACCCUGGACAAUGACUUCAGCUC
This is a long non-coding RNA of Mastomys coucha (southern multimammate mouse), 141 nucleotides long. RefSeq lists it as uncharacterized. The record is from RefSeq and is a predicted model, not a curated record. The transcript has 3 exons. Lineage: Eukaryota; Metazoa; Chordata; Mammalia; Rodentia; Muridae.